UACGUAGGGGGCAAGCGUUAUCCGGAUUUACUGGGUGUAAAGGGAGCGUAGGCGGCAAGGUAAGCCAGAAGUGAAAGCCCGCGGCUCAACUGCGGGACUGCUUUUGGAACUAUCUAGCUAGAUUGCAGGAGAGGCAAGUGGAAUUCCUAGUGUAGCGGUGAAAUGCGUAGAUAUUAGGAGGAACACCAGUGGCGAAGGCGGCCUGCUGGGCUUUUACUGACGCUGAGGCUCGAAAGCGUGGGUAGCAAACAGG
RNAcentral lists this ribosomal RNA (253 nucleotides) under uncultured Coprococcus sp. RNAcentral describes it as "partial 16S ribosomal RNA". It matches the Rfam family "Bacterial small subunit ribosomal RNA", at positions 524 to 776 of the family's 1533-position model. Lineage: Bacteria; Bacillati; Bacillota; Clostridia; Lachnospirales; Lachnospiraceae. The record is from RNAcentral.